RNAcentral lists this ribosomal RNA (492 nucleotides) under uncultured bacterium. RNAcentral's name for it is "partial 16S ribosomal RNA". It matches the Rfam family "Bacterial small subunit ribosomal RNA", at positions 29 to 507 of the family's 1533-position model. The record is from RNAcentral.
AGUGAACGCUGGCGGUAGGCCUAACACAUGCAAGUCGAACGGCAGCACAGUAAGAGCUUGCUCUUACGGGAGGCGAGUGGCGGACGGGUGAGGAAUACAUCGGAAUCUACUUUUUCGUGGGGGAUAACGUAGGGAAACUUACGCUAAUACCGCAUACGACCUACGGGUGAAAGCAGGGGAUCUUCGGACCUUGCGCGAAUGAAUGAGCCGAUGUCGGAUUAGCUAGUUGGCGGGGUAAAGGCCCACCAAGGCGACGAUCCGUAGCUGGUCUGAGAGGAUGAUCAGCCACACUGGAACUGAGACACGGUCCAGACUCCUACGGGAGGCAGCAGUGGGGAAUAUUGGACAAUGGGCGCAAGCCUGAUCCAGCCAUACCGCGUGGGUGAAGAAGGCCUUCGGGUUGUAAAGCCCUUUUGUUGGGAAAGAAAAGCAGCAGGUUAAUACCCCGCUGUUCUGACGGUACCCAAAGAAUAAGCACCGGCUAACUUCGUG